CCUACGGGGGGCAGCAGUGGGGAAUAUUGGGCAAUGGGCGCAAGCCUGACCCAGCAACGCCGCGUGAAGGAAGAAGGCUUUCGGGUUGUAAACUUCUUUUCUUGGGGACGAAGAAAGUGACGGUACCCAAGGAAUAAGCCACGGCUAACUACGUGCCAGCAGCCGCGGUAAUACGUAGGUGGCAAGCGUUAUCCGGAUUUAUUGGGUGUAAAGGGCGUGUAGGCGGGAUUGCAAGUCAGAUGUGAAAACCACGGGCUCAACCUGUGGCCUGCAUUUGAAACUGUAGUUCUUGAGUGCUGGAGAGG
RNAcentral lists this ribosomal RNA (305 nucleotides) under uncultured bacterium. RNAcentral describes it as "bacterial SSU rRNA". It matches the Rfam family "Bacterial small subunit ribosomal RNA", at positions 338 to 657 of the family's 1533-position model. The record is from RNAcentral.